This 816-nucleotide ribosomal RNA is filed under the name uncultured bacterium. Its description in RNAcentral is "bacterial SSU rRNA". It matches the Rfam family "Bacterial small subunit ribosomal RNA", at positions 8 to 804 of the family's 1533-position model. The record is from RNAcentral.
AGAGUUUGAUCCUGGCUCAGAUUGAACGCUGGCGGCGUGCUUAACACAUGCAAGUCGUGCGAGAAAGGGGACUUCGGUUCCUGAGUAGAGCGGCGCACGGGUGAGUAACGCGUGGGUGAUCUACCCGGAAGUCUGGGAUAACGGUGGGAAACUGCCGCUAAUACCGGUUAAUCUUCCAAUUCGAAUUGGAGGGAAAGACGGCCUCUGCUUGCAAGCUGUCGCUUUCGGAUGAGCCCGCGUCCCAUUAGCUCGUUGGCGGGGUAACGGCCCACCAAGGCAACGAUGGGUAGCUGGUCUGAGAGGAUGAUCAGCCACACUGGGACUGGAACACGGCCCAGACUCCUACGGGAGGCAGCAGUGGGGAAUAUUGCGCAAUGGGGGAAACCCUGACGCAGCGACGCCGUGUGAGGGAAGAAGGCCUUCGGGUCGUAAACCUCUGUCGGGAGGGAAGAACCGCCGGGUUCCGAACAGGGACUCGGCCUGACGGUACCUCCGAAGGAAGCGCCGGCUAACUCCGUGCCAGCAGCCGCGGUAAUACGGAGGGCGCGAGCGUUAAUCGGAAUCACUGGGCGUAAAGCGCGCGUAGGCGGCCAGAUAAGUCGGGCGUGAAAGCCCUCGGCUCAACCGAGGAACUGCGUUCGAUACUGUUUGGCUUGAGUCCUGGAGAGGGUGGCGGAAUUCCGGGUGUAGGAGUGAAAUCCGUAGAUAUCCGGAGGAACACCGGUGGCGAAGGCGGCCACCUGGACAGGUACUGACGCUGAGGUGCGAAAGCGUGGGGAGAGAACAGGAUUAGAUACCCUGGUAGUCCACGCUGUA